UGAGGAAUAUUGGUCAAUGGGCGAGAGCCUGAACCAGCCAAGUAGCGUGCAGGAUGACGGCCCUAUGGGUUGUAAACUGCUUUUGUAUGGGGAUAAAGUCAGUCACGUGUGAUUGUUUGCAGGUACCAUACGAAUAAGGACCGGCUAAUUCCGUGCCAGCAGCCGCGGUAAUACGGAAGGUCCGGGCGUUAUCCGGAUUUAUUGGGCUUAAAGGGAGCGUAGGCUGGAGAUUAAGUGUGUUGUGAAAUGUAGACGCUCAACGUCUGACUUGCAGCGCAUACUGGUUUCCUUGAGUACGCACAACGUUGGCGGAAUUCGUCGUGUAGCGGUGAAAUGCUUAGAUAUGACGAAGAACUCCGAUUGCGAAGGCAGCUGACGGGAGCGCAACUGACGCUGAAGCUCGAAGGUGCGGGUAUCGAACAGGAUUAGAUACCCUGGUAGUCCGCACAGUAACGAUGGAUGCCCGCUGUUGGUACCUGGUAUCAGCGGCUAAGCGAAAGCAUUAAGCAUCCCACCUGGGGAGUACGCCGGCNCGGU
Molecule: ribosomal RNA, 537 nt
Filed under: uncultured bacterium
Lineage: Bacteria
Description: bacterial SSU rRNA
Rfam family: Bacterial small subunit ribosomal RNA
Source: RNAcentral